AAAGUCGUAACAAGGUUUCCGUAGGUGAACCUGCGGAAGGAUCAUUACCUGGCCUUGGGCCGCUCGCGGGAGCUAGUCGCUUGCGACGACGCUGCCGAGGGUGCUUAGCCCUUGACUAUCACCUUGACUACGUGCACCUUUUGUCGUUUCCUCGGCAGGUCAUCUGCCGCCAGGAACCCCCUAAACCUUUUUGCAUCAGCAUCCAAACUUCUGAAAAACAAACCAAAUUAUUUACAACUUUUAACAAUGGAUCUCUUGGUUCUG
Molecule: unclassified non-coding RNA, 264 nt
Filed under: Ascomycota sp.
Lineage: Eukaryota; Fungi; Ascomycota
Description: partial contains small subunit ribosomal RNA, internal transcribed spacer 1, and 5.8S ribosomal RNA
Rfam family: Eukaryotic small subunit ribosomal RNA (bases 1-47)
Source: RNAcentral